RNAcentral lists this ribosomal RNA (637 nucleotides) under Arthrobacter sp. Se3Pt_1603. RNAcentral's name for it is "bacterial SSU rRNA". It matches the Rfam family "Bacterial small subunit ribosomal RNA", at positions 380 to 1028 of the family's 1533-position model. The record is from RNAcentral. Lineage: Bacteria; Bacillati; Actinomycetota; Actinomycetes; Micrococcales; Micrococcaceae.
AGCCUGAUGCAGCGACGCCGCGUGAGGGAUGACGGCCUUCGGGUUGUAAACCUCUUUCAGUAGGGAAGAAGCGAAAGUGACGGUACCUGCAGAAGAAGCGCCGGCUAACUACGUGCCAGCAGCCGCGGUAAUACGUAGGGCGCAAGCGUUAUCCGGAAUUAUUGGGCGUAAAGAGCUCGUAGGCGGUUUGUCGCGUCUGCUGUGAAAGACCGGGGCUCAACUCCGGUUCUGCAGUGGGUACGGGCAGACUAGAGUGCAGUAGGGGAGACUGGAAUUCCUGGUGUAGCGGUGAAAUGCGCAGAUAUCAGGAGGAACACCGAUGGCGAAGGCAGGUCUCUGGGCUGUAACUGACGCUGAGGAGCGAAAGCAUGGGGAGCGAACAGGAUUAGAUACCCUGGUAGUCCAUGCCGUAAACGUUGGGCACUAGGUGUGGGGGACAUUCCACGUUUUCCGCGCCGUAGCUAACGCAUUAAGUGCCCCGCCUGGGGAGUACGGCCGCAAGGCUAAAACUCAAAGGAAUUGACGGGGGCCCGCACAAGCGGCGGAGCAUGCGGAUUAAUUCGAUGCAACGCGAAGAACCUUACCAAGGCUUGACAUGAACCGGUAAUACCUGGAAACAGGUGCCCCGCUUGCGGUC